AGGAAAGAAUGGAGACCGUGCAGCAGCUGAGUUUCUCAUCUGCAAGAGGCUGGCUUUGGCCAGAGGAAAUGACAGAGAAUGGGGCAGAGGUAUCCAGUGUGUAGAAGACUUUGCUUGACAUUCAGCCUUUCAACUGAUUCUGAAGACAGUCCCAGCAAAACCACCCAACAGCUGUACGAUCUCACUGCACUCACUUGUUUAAAAAGAGAUACUGAAAGAUACUCAAAGAAAUCAACUCACCUGAUACACCAUGGGAAGAGAUUUGAGUAUAGCCCCAAAACUUGUGGUCUGAACAUCAGUUAACAGCUAUGCUUCUUAUGGUAAGUUGUUUUUAGACCAAGAGCACUUGAGAGAUGUGCAGAGAAAAUUAAGAUUGCAUAUUGAUGGAAAAAAUGUAAAAUGCUCUGAAAUAUAGGAGAUAGGGUGAUGGAGACUGACCCCAGUCACCUAUUAUUUGUGUAAUUUUAAUUACUCUCCCUUUAAUUUAAGCAGCUGACACACACCUUCAGUGGUGUUCAGAAAGUUAAUAGGGCAGCUGAGUAAGGAUUUUAAGGUCAUAUUCUUGUCCUUUGGUGCUUAUUUUAUUUAUUAGCUGCUGCAUUAAUAUUCUUAUGAUUACAGAAAUGAUCAUUUAUGUAUAUAAUGCAUCUUAUGAUAGUAUACAUUGAUGAAUAUUAUGUUUAUUUCUGAAUAUGUCUUCUUGAUAUUUUAGUAGUAAAUUCACAGAAAUGUAACAGCAUUUGUAUCAAGUUUCUUCCUUCUUUACAUUAUUUUUUAAUUAUGGUAUGUAGUCAUCAGUUUGCUGACAAUAAUUUUCCCAAAUGUCACUCUUUGAUUCCACCCUUCCCAACUGAAAUUAAAAUAUUGACAGAAAUCAUUUAGCAUGAGCAGUGAAAAAAUUCAAAGAGGCAUUUAAAGUAGAGGAAGUUCUACAUGUAUCCCUUCUAUAUAUGUACAUUUGUGACUCAUUUCCAGUUACAUAAAGAGUAAUGUGUGUAAAAUUAGUGUGCUGUCUCAUGUUUGUCUUGCAUGUAGAUAAGGGAUGACAUUUAAUUGAAGUUAUUUUUUUUAAAUCAAACAAACUACUAUUUGCAAUAUAAAAAUAGAGAGAACCUAAUGUUUCUGAUAUGUUCAGUGGAGUUGAAGGGGAACUGGUAGAUUACCAGUGUGAAUGGAGUUUGGCUUGUUUCUUUCUUAAAUCUUUUACCCAAUUUAUACACCCUCAUGCCUAUGUAUCUCUGUCUUUGUUGAUCAGCACUGUGCAGGAAGGGAAAGCAAACACAGCUCAUGGAACUGGCUGAGGUUCUGCAGCAUGCAGCAGUAGCUCUCAAAAAUAAAGGUGCUCCAAGCACAUGGUUAUCCA
Molecule: long non-coding RNA, 1363 nt
Filed under: Numida meleagris (helmeted guineafowl)
Lineage: Eukaryota; Metazoa; Chordata; Aves; Galliformes; Numididae
Description: lncRNA (ENSNMEG00000022815.1)
Source: RNAcentral